RNAcentral lists this ribosomal RNA (161 nucleotides) under Hordeum jubatum. RNAcentral describes it as "5.8S ribosomal RNA". It matches the Rfam family "5.8S ribosomal RNA". From Rfam's summary of the family: 5.8S ribosomal RNA (5.8S rRNA) is a component of the large subunit of the eukaryotic ribosome. It is transcribed by RNA polymerase I as part of the 45S precursor that also contains 18S and 28S rRNA. Functionally, it is thought that 5.8S rRNA may be involved in ribosome translocation. The record is from RNAcentral. Lineage: Eukaryota; Viridiplantae; Streptophyta; Magnoliopsida; Poales; Poaceae. RNAcentral also lists the same sequence under 1 other name.
ACGACUCUUGGCAACGGAUAUCUCGGCUCUCGCAUCGAUGAAGAACGUAGCGAAAUGCGAUACCUGGUGUGAAUUGCAGAAUCCCGCGAACCAUCGAGUCUUUGAACGCAAGUUGCGCCCGAGGCCACUCGGCCGAGGGCACGCCUGCCUGGGCGUCACGC